GGGUAGAGCAAUUGGUAGCUCGUCGGGCUCAUAACCCGGAGGUCGCAGGUUCAAAUCCUGUCCCC
RNAcentral lists this transfer RNA (65 nucleotides) under bovine gut metagenome. It matches the Rfam family "tRNA", at positions 5 to 66 of the family's 71-position model. Rfam says of the family: Transfer RNA (tRNA) molecules are approximately 80 nucleotides in length. Their secondary structure includes four short double-helical elements and three loops (D, anti-codon, and T loops). The record is from RNAcentral.